Molecule: unclassified non-coding RNA, 1290 nt
Filed under: Hevea brasiliensis (rubber tree)
Lineage: Eukaryota; Viridiplantae; Streptophyta; Magnoliopsida; Malpighiales; Euphorbiaceae
Source: RNAcentral
AGAGACUACAGACCAAUUGCCAAUCUAUACAGACUUGCUUACAUUGGAAGUGAAAGAUAAUAUGAUUCAUUACCUGUGUACAGAAGCAAUAUCUCGAAAAUCAAACAUCUACACAUUCCUUGUGACUACGAAACUGGUGGCAACUACUAGUUUCUUUAACCACGCCACCUUAUUGUAAGGAUUCCAAAAUUUUCAGAUGACGCAAAUCUUUGAUUUUACCAAUGCUUACCAAGUAUCAACAGCACCAGAACUUACAUUUUUCUUUCCAAUCCUCUGAUAACUUCCGCCAUGAUACACAAAUUUGAAGAAGUUUUUCUCGCUAUCAGGCCAACUACUCCUAUUUUCUCUUCAUCUCGUCAACAAGUUUUCUGAUGGUAUAGUACAGUUUCUUACACAAUUUUGUAACUUUGCAGAUCAACAAUGCAUAAUAUCGUUGUUCCCCUUAGCGAUUGAAUGGAAAGCACAGUAGCAUAUCUUCGUUGCAGCUUAGGGAGGUAUAUUUUCUAAGCUGAAAUAGAUUACAGCUUCAAAGAAACCAACGCUGAUCCAGAUCAUCUUUUCACUAUUAGAGAGGUACCAUUUGCUGACUGGACUAGUUUACAGCUUCGAAGAAAAGGACCUGCGGUUGCAAAUGCCCUCUCUCACACAUGACGAGAACAUCAUCCCAGCCACCAAUUACCUUUACGGUUUUGUCAUCAUACAUGAUCCACUGUCCACGAUCAUGACUGUAGGCAAAACAGUGAUAAUGCUGUCCAUAGUAGCAAACCACAGAAGUUAAGCAAUGUUUGUUUUUCGGAUCAAGACCCCGAUAAAGGACGCCGAUGUCCACUUCAGUAGAUAAAGCUGAUAAUGUGGCUUUUAUGUCAUCUACAUCCUCACAAGUAUUUUGCCAACCCAAAACCGUUGUGAAAAUAUGUGGUGGAGCAGAGAGAAUGUGAUGAAUAUAGUUAAGUUUCUCACAUCCACCAACCUCAGGAUCGCAAGCCAACUGAUGGUUCAUCUCAACAAGAUUCAGAAGCUCGUCAAAUGAGCUUUCUGGACACAUAACCUUCAUAGUUCGGAGAGCACUGGCAUUAAUAUUAUGAAAAAAUGAUGUGUACUUCAGAUGUCUAGACUCCAAUCCACAAUUAUAGCAGUUCAUCCGUUCAAAAAUAUCCAUCCCGAAAAGAGAAUGCACAGUACAAGCACUACUUGUGCAAUCCCAAGAGCCCGUACAGCUGCUAUCAGCAGAUUCAGCAUCUGAACCACCUAAAGUUGAUGUAAAUGAUCGAUGCAGGCAAUCGAAUAUUA